GGUCGGGUGGCUGAUCGGAAGGCAAGAGUUUGCAAGACUCUUUACAAUGGUUCGAAUCCAUUCCCGACCU
Molecule: transfer RNA, 70 nt
Filed under: Sphingobacterium sp. UT-1RO-CII-1
Lineage: Bacteria; Pseudomonadati; Bacteroidota; Sphingobacteriia; Sphingobacteriales; Sphingobacteriaceae
Description: tRNA-Cys
Rfam family: tRNA
About the family: Transfer RNA (tRNA) molecules are approximately 80 nucleotides in length. Their secondary structure includes four short double-helical elements and three loops (D, anti-codon, and T loops).
Source: RNAcentral